GAACAACAUUCUCCAAAAGAGAUUGUGUCUGGGGUGUAAGAAACUAACUAAAAGCUAGAAUGACACAGUUUGCAUCUUCAGCAUAACAUUAAAGCAGGUGCGUGUGCCGAGAUGUACACGUUGGUCCAUGAGCCAAGAUGCUACUGACGGCAUGUUACUUCAUGUACUCACAUGGAGUCACUUGAGAAAACAACUGGGAAACUGCUUAUAUAUGCUUCUCAGAAAGUCAGUCUUCACAAUCUAUGCAAAGUGAGCAGUGGAGCAAAUUAUUGUCUUUAGGUAAGUAACUGAAACAGUGAUAGACACCUGACCUCAGGGGAGAAAACUGUAUAGUUCUAUCUUCCAGAAACUUAUCAUUGAGAUACAACAACUCUA
RNAcentral lists this long non-coding RNA (375 nucleotides) under Pongo abelii (Sumatran orangutan). RNAcentral describes it as "lncRNA (ENSPPYG00000041654.1)". Lineage: Eukaryota; Metazoa; Chordata; Mammalia; Primates; Hominidae. The record is from RNAcentral.